UAUUGCGGGCGUCAGCAAAAAAAAAGAGAAGAUGGGGGAAGUCCCCCCACGAGCGCAACCCCUCUCGCUAGUAGCCAGCACCACGGGGGGGGACACUAGAGAAACCCGCCCGGACAAACCCGGGGAAAGGGGGGGUGACGCCAAGAGAUCAUGGCCCCUAUGGCCGGGGCACCACCCCCGCGACAAAGGGCGGCACAAAGGGCCGCCAAGACCGCGGGGAAGAGCCAAUACCCCCAAAGCCGCGCCUCGGCCGGAUCUCUUUUCUCCACCCCGGGGAAAAAAGCCUCUCUUUUUUCCGAAAGGGGGGAGAAGCCAGGACUCGUCAAGGAGGGGGA
RNAcentral lists this ribosomal RNA (335 nucleotides) under uncultured vent bacterium. RNAcentral's name for it is "partial 16S ribosomal RNA". It matches the Rfam family "Bacterial small subunit ribosomal RNA", at positions 1044 to 1328 of the family's 1533-position model. The record is from RNAcentral.